This 719-nucleotide ribosomal RNA is filed under the name Streptomyces sp. A244. RNAcentral describes it as "bacterial SSU rRNA". It matches the Rfam family "Bacterial small subunit ribosomal RNA", at positions 1 to 735 of the family's 1533-position model. The record is from RNAcentral. Lineage: Bacteria; Bacillati; Actinomycetota; Actinomycetes; Kitasatosporales; Streptomycetaceae.
CAUUCACGGAGAGUUUGAUCCUGGCUCAGGACGAACGCUGGCGGCGUGCUUAACACAUGCAAGUCGAACGAUGAACCACUUCGGUGGGGAUUAGUGGCGAACGGGUGAGUAACACGUGGGCAAUCUGCCCUUCACUCUGGGACAAGCCCUGGAAACGGGGUCUAAUACCGGAUAACACUUCCGCACUCAUGUGCGGGGGUUAAAAGCUCCGGCGGUGAAGGAUGAGCCCGCGGCCUAUCAGCUUGUUGGUGAGGUAAUGGCUCACCAAGGCGACGACGGGUAGCCGGCCUGAGAGGGCGACCGGCCACACUGGGACUGAGACACGGCCCAGACUCCUACGGGAGGCAGCAGUGGGGAAUAUUGCACAAUGGGCGAAAGCCUGAUGCAGCGACGCCGCGUGAGGGAUGACGGCCUUCGGGUUGUAAACCUCUUUCAGCAGGGAAGAAGCGAAAGUGACGGUACCUGCAGAAGAAGCGCCGGCUAACUACGUGCCAGCAGCCGCGGUAAUACGUAGGGCGCGAGCGUUGUCCGGAAUUAUUGGGCGUAAAGAGCUCGUAGGCGGCUUGUCACGUCGGUUGUGAAAGCCCGGGGCUUAACCCCGGGUCUGCAGUCGAUACGGGCAGGCUAGAGUGUGGUAGGGGAGAUCGGAAUUCCUGGUGUAGCGGUGAAAUGCGCAGAUAUCAGGAGGAACACCGGUGGCGAAGGCGGAUCUCUGGGCC